UGGUCGCUGGGCUCAUCGGUCUCCACGCUUUGGCUGUGGCGUUGGAGAUCCUCAACCAC
RNAcentral lists this transfer RNA (59 nucleotides) under Boodlea composita. Its description in RNAcentral is "tRNA-Gln". Lineage: Eukaryota; Viridiplantae; Chlorophyta; Ulvophyceae; Cladophorales; Boodleaceae. The record is from RNAcentral.